CACCACGAGGCGCUGUCUAC
This 20-nucleotide non-coding RNA is filed under the name Arabidopsis thaliana (thale cress). The record is from RNAcentral. Lineage: Eukaryota; Viridiplantae; Streptophyta; Magnoliopsida; Brassicales; Brassicaceae.